This is a non-coding RNA of Caenorhabditis elegans, 1820 nucleotides long. Ensembl annotates it as ncRNA. Its record names the gene anr-35. NCBI's taxonomy places the organism in Eukaryota, Metazoa, Nematoda, Chromadorea, Rhabditida, Rhabditidae. The record is from Ensembl.
ACUUUAAGAGUUGCGCCGACUUUAUCGAUUUUUUCCAGCCUUCCCCUCACUUCUUUUCAAUGUUUUCACGUAUUUUUCUUCAGCAAAUGUCUCUCAAACGUGAGAGAGGAGUCGAUGAAGAUGGAAGAAGAUUCAGUUCCGGUGGAAUCUUCGUUAGAAGACGAUCUGAGCUUACUCGGAGAAUCGAGUGAAGAUGACGAGGAGGAGGAAGUUAUAGACCUUCUUCAAUUAUGAACAACGACGUCACACUUAUGACAAAAGAAAACGAAAGUUUUUCCAAGAACAUCAUUCGGAAAUUAUCGGCUGUCAUUUGAAGCCUUCCGAAGUACUCCUGGAAAAGGUUGGCAUUGCCGUUCAACUGUGGAUCAAUCUUCAAUAGAGCUUUCCGAGCCAUCUCUUGAUGGGAUCUGUAAAAUAAAAUUUGUAACACAAAUCGUGAUUGGGAAAUUCACCUGUGAUAUAAUUCAAAGGGGCUUGGUUCAUGUACAACCACACUGUAGCAGACCAAAACGACUGGAACCAUUGCAACAGUUCCAUAAGUUGAGAACAGAAAGUGUGGAAAAUGGUUGAAAAGAGCAUUCCCGAGACUCUUGGGAUGAAGAAAAUGAAAAAUCGUUCGAAGAAUGGACUUGACACCAGUAGUUCUUGACAAAAUUUGUUCCCCGCAAUUUCAGAUACUUUCGAAAAGAAAGAAGUACUGAAGUGGUCCACGAUGAAGAUGUGAAGACUAUGAGGAGCUCCGACAAUAGCUUGAACAAAAAUUGAAAUGAAAACUGAGGCAGCAGCACCCAGAAAACACGUUUGCGAACCAAUACGAUCGAUGAUGAAAUGGACAAAGACUGCGGCAAAAACUUGGGCUAGCAACCACAACAUCAGGAUAGUGACCUGAAAGAAAACAUUUAAGUUGAUCUAAAAGUCGAAUGGAAUUCACCAGCCAACGAGCAAUGGCUGCCUCGUCAUACGUUUGGAUGUUGUCCGUGUUGAGAGCAUCAUCCAGAAACCUGAAAAAAUCAUUUUUUGGAAUAUUGAGACAAAUAUCAAAAACUUACACACGACUUGUUUUGUCCAGCCUGUAUCCAAAAAACCAAAACCCAUUAAGAAAGUUUGAAAGUAGUUGAAUUUGCAUUCCGAUCAUCUGCCACGUGGUCGGUGGCUGUCUCUUUGCAAAAAUUUGAUGCAAACGCGCCCCAGUGAGAAUUUUGUUGGUGGACUUCACUCGGACAAGUAAUUUAAUAGAAAAUUUGGUUUAUUUGCUAGGAAGUUGGUUGUUUUUCGAUUUAAUAAAUAAAUUUUAAUUUUUUUCCGGUUAAAAUCUUUAUUUUAGUUCAUCACUUGUUUCAGAGAACCUAGAUUUCAAUCGAGGGACCUCCUGCGACACGAAAAGGCAGGAAUGAUAGAUUUGAGGUAUUUUCCUUACGUAAUUGGUUCCGCAAAAUCACAAAAUAAAAAGAAUUAAAAUGCAAAAAUUUCAGGCUAGCCUGCAGGCUCAAUAACGACAAGACGGAGAGUGGAUCGACAAGAGGGAAGAGGUGAAAUUGGUUCAAAUUCAGAUGCAACAACAACAGGACUGGUCGAAAGGAGGACUUUUGGAACACGUGAUGCCGUUCGUCAAGACUCACAAAACAUGGGCCAGAACAAGUGAGCAACCCAUCGAGGCACUUCACGCGUUCUACAACAAACAGAAAAGUCUUUACGCAACAAUUCGGGAUAACAGUACACGAGUGAAGUUCUGCUUCCGAAAGAUUCUCUUUAAAAACUAUAUUUCCAUUCACAGUUAAAGAUUUUUUUAUAUUUCCAUUCGAAAAUCCCACAAUUUCUAC